This 404-nucleotide ribosomal RNA is filed under the name Verrucomicrobiota bacterium. RNAcentral's name for it is "Verrucomicrobia bacterium partial 16S ribosomal RNA". It matches the Rfam family "Bacterial small subunit ribosomal RNA", at positions 355 to 776 of the family's 1533-position model. Lineage: Bacteria; Pseudomonadati; Verrucomicrobiota. The record is from RNAcentral.
UGGGGAAUAUUGGACAAUGGGCGCAAGCCUGAUCCAGCCAUGCCGCGUGAGUGAUGAAGGCCCUAGGGUUGUAAAGCUCUUUCACCGGUGAAGAUAAUGACGGUAACCGGAGAAGAAGCCACGGCUAACUACGUGCCAGCAGCCGCGGUAAUACGUAGGUGGCAAGCGUUGUCCGGAUUUAUUGGGCGUAAAGGGGGCGCAGGCUGCUUCUUAAGUCUGAUGUGAAAGCCCACGGCUUAACCGUGGAAGUGCAUUGGAAACUGGGAAGCUUGAGUACAGAAGAGGAAAGUGGAACUCCAUGUGUAGCGGUGGAAUGCGUAGAUAUAUGGAAGAACACCAGUGGCGAAAGCGACUUUCUGGUCUGUCACUGACGCUGAGGCCCGAAAGCGUGGGUAGCAAACAGG